AGCGAACGCUGGCGGCAGGCCUAAUACAUGCAAGUCGAACGCACCGCAAGGUGAGUGGCAGACGGGUGAGUAACGCGUGGGAAUCUUCCUUGCAGUACGGAAUAACUCCGGGAAACCGGUGCUAAUACCGUAUACGCCCUUUGGGGGAAAGAUUUAUCGCUGCAAGAUGAGCCCGCGUCGGAUUAGCUAGUUGGUGGGGUAAUGGCCUACCAAGGCGACGAUCCGUAGCUGGUCUGAGAGGAUGAUCAGCCACACUGGGACUGAGACACGGCCCAGACUCCUACGGGAGGCAGCAGUAGGGAAUAUUGGACAAUGGGCGAAAGCCUGAUCCAGCCAUGCCGCGCGAGUGAAGAAGGCCUUAGGGUUGUAAAGCUCUUUUGGCGGGGACGAUAAUGACGGUACCCGCAGAAUAAGCUCCGGCUAACUUCGUGCCAGCAGCCGCGGUAA
RNAcentral lists this ribosomal RNA (447 nucleotides) under uncultured bacterium. RNAcentral describes it as "partial 16S ribosomal RNA". It matches the Rfam family "Bacterial small subunit ribosomal RNA", at positions 29 to 523 of the family's 1533-position model. The record is from RNAcentral.